Molecule: unclassified non-coding RNA, 466 nt
Filed under: Hevea brasiliensis (rubber tree)
Lineage: Eukaryota; Viridiplantae; Streptophyta; Magnoliopsida; Malpighiales; Euphorbiaceae
Source: RNAcentral
AUUUUUGCAACUAAAAUUCCAACUGAUUCCUCAGAAGAUAAGAGUUCUUCAAGAAUAUUAGCUUGUCUGUUCUUCCAUUGGAUAUAUGACUUCUCAUUCGAAAAUUCAGUCUUUGUUGUGCCAUUCAAAAGCCCUAGUGUGAUUUGAGGAACAUCGAUUUGUUCAAAUGAUUUCUCAGAAGCUAAACGCACCAACUUUCGCCGAGUGAGAGCAUCCAUUGUUUCUGAGAUCUGCAUUUGUGUCCUGAAAGUUUCAAUAAGCUCAGCAUUUCUAUCGAAAGGCACGGACCCAGACAGGGACCGUGAAUGUCUUUUCUCUCUUCUCUUCAGCCCAGAAAGAAAUCUAGGACUCUUCUCUUUCUUUUUACACUCAGCCAAGCGAACCUCAAGCCCAGAGCAGAUCAUGCAAGCAAGGAAUACUUCAUAGGCAGAUUCACGCAAAUCAUCGUCCAGUAGCCCUGUUUUCA